Molecule: small nuclear RNA, 98 nt
Filed under: Macaca mulatta (Rhesus monkey)
Lineage: Eukaryota; Metazoa; Chordata; Mammalia; Primates; Cercopithecidae
Source: RNAcentral
GUGCUUGCUUCAGCAGCACAUAUCUAAAAUUAGAAUAGAGAUUAGCCUGACCCCUGUGCAAAGAUGACAUGCAAAUUUGUGAAACAUUCCCUAUUUUU